This 72-nucleotide transfer RNA is filed under the name Camelus dromedarius (Arabian camel). It matches the Rfam family "tRNA". Rfam says of the family: Transfer RNA (tRNA) molecules are approximately 80 nucleotides in length. The record is from Rfam by way of RNAcentral. Lineage: Eukaryota; Metazoa; Chordata; Mammalia; Artiodactyla; Camelidae. RNAcentral also lists the same sequence under 1 other name.
GAGGGUACAACUCAGUGGUAGACUGCAUGCUUAGUACGUAUGAAGUCCUGGGUUCAAUCCCCAGUACCUCCU